Molecule: ribosomal RNA, 699 nt
Filed under: Elymus glaucus
Lineage: Eukaryota; Viridiplantae; Streptophyta; Magnoliopsida; Poales; Poaceae
Description: eukaryotic LSU rRNA
Rfam family: 5.8S ribosomal RNA (bases 266-421)
Source: RNAcentral
UCGUAACAAGGUUUCCGUAGGUGAACCUGCGGAAGGAUCAUUGUCGUGACCCUGACCAAAACAGACCGUGCUCGUGUCAUCCAAUCCGCCGGCGGUGGCACCAACCAUCGCUCGGCCAAGCCCUCGACCACCUCCCCUCCUCGGAGUGGGGGCUCGGGGCAAAAGAACCCACGGCGCCGAAGGCGUCAAGGAACACUGUGCCUAACUCGGGGUCAUGGCUAGCUUGCUAGUCGUCCCUCGUGUUGCAAAGCUAUUUAAUCCACACGACUCUCGGCAACGGAUAUCUCGGCUCUCGCAUCGAUGAAGAACGUAGCGAAAUGCGAUACCUGGUGUGAAUUGCAGAAUCCCGCGAACCAUCGAGUCUUUGAACGCAAGUUGCGCCCGAGGCCACUCGGCCGAGGGCACGCCUGCCUGGGCGUCACGCCAAAACACGCUCUCAACCACCCUCAUUGGGAAUCGGGAUGCGGCAUAUGGUCCCUCGUCCCGCAAGGGGCGGUGGGCCGAAGAUCGGGCUGCCGGUGCACCGCGUCGGACACAGCGCAUGGUGGGCGUUCUUGCUUUAUCAACGUAGUGCAUCCGACGCAUAGCUGGCGUGAUGGCCCCUAAAGGACCUAGCAAACGAAGCGCACGUCGCUUCGACCGCGACCCCAGGUCAGGCGGGACUACCCGCUGAGUUUAAGCAUAUCAAUAAGCGGAGGA